This 1082-nucleotide long non-coding RNA is filed under the name Homo sapiens (human). RNAcentral's name for it is "HSALNT0291045". The stretch from base 579 to 708 matches the Rfam family "Small nucleolar RNA SNORA61". The record is from RNAcentral. Lineage: Eukaryota; Metazoa; Chordata; Mammalia; Primates; Hominidae.
CCUUUCUCCCCGCCGCAUUCCCGGUGUCGACUUACUAGCUGCAAGCCUCUGCCUGCCUUCCUGCGCGCCGUUCCCCGCUAGUCGCUGCUGCUGGCGCGCACUCGCCGGGUUUUUCCUCCCACGGCCUCGAGAUGGUGGUGAAUGUGGCACGGAGGAGCCGGGCCUUCCAACCCGGUGGGCCCGAGCUCCGAAAGGCCCCCUCGGCAGUGAGAGGGGCGGGAGCCCGCGGGGGCCGCGCCCUUCUCUCGCUUCGGACUGCGCAACGCUGCGCUCUGGGCUGACAGGCGGAUAAAACGGUCCCAUCAAGACUGAGAAAAAGCACACCAGCUAUUGGCACAGCGUGGGCAGUGGGGCCUACAGGAUGACUGACUUAGUCUACAGAGAUCCCGGCGUACUUAAGCAGAUGAAGACUCUUAAGAUGACAGAAGGUGAUUUUUCUGGUGAUCGAGGACUUCCGGGGUAAUGACAGUGAUGAAAUGCAGGGGACCUGGUUGCCCCCAAGUUUCCUGGCAGUGUGUGAUACUGAGGAGGUGAGCUUGUUUCUGGAGCUGUGCUUUAAGGUAAAGUUGAUCAGCUUAAUCCUCCUGAUCCCUUUCCCAUCGGAUCUGAACACUGGUCUUGGUGGUCGUAAAAGGAGGAAAAGUAAUAGUGAAGCUGGCCUAAAUGUUGUAAUCUGGUAUAUGGCAUGUGGGCUAGUUUCAGACAGGUUUCAGAGAUGGUUGGAUCUCUGAAAUUGUAAAAUGAAGUAUAAUCUUAGGCUAAGGGAAGGAUGCGUGUGAAGCUCUGGAGGUUGGUAUAGUAAUAGCUGACCUAUUACUGCAUUUGGGAGGGAUCUGUCAUAGCUUCCUUGCCUCUUAAUUAAGGGUGGUGUUUUUUUCUUUUAGAUUCAUGUUACAUGUAAAGCUGUCCUCAUUUGUGACUAUGGACCUAUGGAGUUGGGACAAUCUCUAUGGGAAGCAGAAGGCAAGGACCCCGGUCAUUUUAGGUAGAAACAACAGCAUGCUAAUGCAAAAAAUUAUGCAGUGUGCUACUGAACUUCAGAGGUGAUCAAUAAAAGAAGAAUAAAAAGACUAAUAAAAGUA